ACUGCAGACUUUAGUGAAUCUCUGUGCAGGGAAGUUCUUCUUCUCCUUCUUUUUUCAAUACCAGGGAUGGUACCCACUAAGAGACCUCUCCAGCCCUUUGGAUUUGAUUUUGAGACAGGGUCUCACUAGGUCGCCCAGGCUGGCCUUGAACUUGGGAUCCUCCUGCCUCAGCCUCCCGAGGAGCUGGCAUUACGGCUGUGCACCAGCAUGCCCGUGUAGGCUUAGGAAUGUUCUCUAGCAGGGGACAUUCUGCCCAGGCAUCUUCUUGCGGAGGCUUCUUGGCAAGCCCAGGAGGGCAGGCCCCCUGUGUGUCCAUCUGCCAGGAGACACACAGGAGUGGCCGGCACCCAGAGACACAGAGAGAGGACAGCAGGUGUGCAGACGGAGGCAGAGACGGUGAGGUGGUCCCCACCAAGGAGUCCCCAGAGCUAAAGGGGCAGGAAGGACGGGCCUCUGGAGUCCCCUAGGGUCUGUCCACACCUCGAUGUUGGACUUCUGGUCUCCAGAACUGCCAGAGAAGAAAUCUCUGUGGCUUCAGGCCAUCAGGAAGCUGUAAGAUUGACCAGAUGCGGAAGAGGGGACAGGGAAGAACUCAAACAUAAGGAGAAACUCCAAUAAAACAUGAGCACGGGAAUCGGACACGGAUUUGAAGACCAAAUUUGGAGACUGCUCACCAAAGACCUGCGGAAGGUGGGAGAGCAUGUGAUCCCGUGUCAUGAGACACCCCUGCAGGCACAGGACAUGCAUUCCGUCCCUCCCGCCAGUCCCAUCCGCGGGUGGAUGAUGUGGCCAUCCCUGCAAGGGAACCCCGCACAGCAAAGGAGGGGGCAGACUAUCCACCUCGCAGCCGAUGGAUCUUAAAGUGAAAAAAGCCAGACAGAAAAAGAGCCCCGCUGUGUGGUCCCUGGAGUGUCUACAGAACUCCACACAGCAACCAACCCUCCCUGGUGAUGAAAAAGCGGGUGGUGCUGGCCUGGGGACACCCUGGGACAGGGGCAAGGACGGCAGCAUGGGGGAUCUUACUGGUUGCAAUGGCUGCCCAGGUGUGUGCCCGUGUCAACGCACAUCAGCUCAUGCCCUGUGAAUGUCUGCAGUUCCCUGGUAUCAACUAAACCGCCACCAAGCUGUUCUAAAAAAGAGAGAGGGAUUGCUGGGCGCGGUGGGGCACACUUGUAGUCCCAGUAGCUCCGGAGGCUGAGGCAGGAGGAUGGAAAGUUCGAGGCCAGCCUCAGCAACUUUGCAAGACCCUAAGCAAC
This is a non-coding RNA of Marmota flaviventris (yellow-bellied marmot), 1256 nucleotides long. The record is from RefSeq and is a predicted model, not a curated record. NCBI's taxonomy places the organism in Eukaryota, Metazoa, Chordata, Mammalia, Rodentia, Sciuridae.